UGAAAGAAUUUCAUCCAAUUUGGGAAAUUUGAGGAGGGAGUUGAUGUGCCUUUGAAUUGAUCUUGCAAAGAGUAGAGGGAAAGAUCAAGAUUGAAGUAUUCGUUGCUGGAUGAAGAGGGAAUAUCUGAUGGAGGGGCCUGUGGUUGGGUGUAUGUAGUAGGUGGCUCUACGAUUUGGACUUGGGAUUCUUUACUGGGGUUAGAGUCUGUAAUCGUAGAGUUGAUGGGAUGUGGGAGAAUUAUGAAGUUGGUCGCAUUUAUUUCUCAGUUACAGAAUUUUGGGAUUCUGCAACUGGAAAUUGAUUUACUGGAUGAAGAAUUACUUCCAACCAUCGUGGGAAUUCAUAAAAUUGAUUAAAUGAAGAUGAUCACAAGUGAUUAAUUCUGAAAAGGGUUGGGAUAGAUAGUACCUCAGGUUUGUUCUUUGAGGAAGAGUUGUUGGUGAGUAGUUUUUGGAAAAAUUUAAUCUUCCUGGAAAUCCACUAGGUAGCACUG
RNAcentral lists this long non-coding RNA (494 nucleotides) under Panax ginseng (ginseng). Its description in RNAcentral is "long non-coding RNA (PGIN_LNC014073)". The record is from RNAcentral. Lineage: Eukaryota; Viridiplantae; Streptophyta; Magnoliopsida; Apiales; Araliaceae.